AUACUGCAAGUCGAGCGGUAGAGUGACUUCGGUUGCUUGAGAGCGGCAGACGGGUGAGUAACGCGUACAUGACCUGCCCACAAGAAGUGGAUAGCCCUGGGAAACUGGGAUUAAUACACUAUGUGAUUACUGAAGAUAAGUUUUGGUAAUUAAAGUUGAGGCGCUUGUGGAUGGAUGUGCGUCUGAUUAGCUAGUUGGUGAGGUAGUGGCUCACCAAGGCGACGAUCAGUAGGGGGCGUGAGAGCGUGACCCCCCACACGGGUACUGAGACACGGACCCGACUCCUACGGGAGGCAGCAGUAAGGAAUAUUGGUCAAUGGAGGGAACUCUGAACCAGCCAUUCCGCGUGGAGGAAGAAGGCCCUAUGGGUUGUAAACUUCUUUGAGAUGGGAGUAAAAUGAUCUUUGCGAAGGUUACUGAAGGUACCAUCAGAAUAAGCACCGGCUAACUCCGUGCCAGCAGCCGCGGUAAUACGGAGGGUGCGAGCG
RNAcentral lists this ribosomal RNA (488 nucleotides) under uncultured Bacteroidota bacterium. Its description in RNAcentral is "bacterial SSU rRNA". It matches the Rfam family "Bacterial small subunit ribosomal RNA", at positions 51 to 540 of the family's 1533-position model. The record is from RNAcentral. Lineage: Bacteria; Pseudomonadati; Bacteroidota.